This 1274-nucleotide ribosomal RNA is filed under the name Lactococcus lactis. Its description in RNAcentral is "bacterial SSU rRNA". It matches the Rfam family "Bacterial small subunit ribosomal RNA", at positions 131 to 1394 of the family's 1533-position model. The record is from RNAcentral. Lineage: Bacteria; Bacillati; Bacillota; Bacilli; Lactobacillales; Streptococcaceae.
UUUGAGCGGGGGACAACAUUUGGAAACGAAUGCUAAUACCGCAUAAAAACUUUAAACACAAGUUUUAAGUUUGAAAGAUGCAAUUGCAUCACUCAAAGAUGAUCCCGCGUUGUAUUAGCUAGUUGGUGAGGUAAAGGCUCACCAAGGCGAUGAUACAUAGCCGACCUGAGAGGGUGAUCGGCCACAUUGGGACUGAGACACGGCCCAAACUCCUACGGGAGGCAGCAGUAGGGAAUCUUCGGCAAUGGACGAAAGUCUGACCGAGCAACGCCGCGUGAGUGAAGAAGGUUUUCGGAUCGUAAAACUCUGUUGGUAGAGAAGAACGUUGGUGAGAGUGGAAAGCUCAUCAAGUGACGGUAACUACCCAGAAAGGGACGGCUAACUACGUGCCAGCAGCCGCGGUAAUACGUAGGUCCCGAGCGUUGUCCGGAUUUAUUGGGCGUAAAGCGAGCGCAGGUGGUUUAUUAAGUCUGGUGUAAAAGGCAGUGGCUCAACCAUUGUAUGCAUUGGAAACUGGUAGACUUGAGUGCAGGAGAGGAGAGUGGAAUUCCAUGUGUAGCGGUGAAAUGCGUAGAUAUAUGGAGGAACACCGGUGGCGAAAGCGGCUCUCUGGCCUGUAACUGACACUGAGGCUCGAAAGCGUGGGGGAGCAAACAGGAUUAGAUACCCUGGUAGUCCACGCCGUAAACGAUGAGUGCUAGAUGUAGGGAGCUAUAAGUUCUCUGUAUCGCAGCUAACGCAAUAAGCACUCCGCCUGGGGAGUACGACCGCAAGGUUGAAACUCAAAGGAAUUGACGGGGGCCCGCACAAGCGGUGGAGCAUGUGGUUUAAUUCGAAGCAACGCGAAGAACCUUACCAGGUCUUGACAUACUCGUGCUAUUCCUAGAGAUAGGAAGUUCCUUCGGGACACGGGAUACAGGUGGUGCAUGGUUGUCGUCAGCUCGUGUCGUGAGAUGUUGGGUUAAGUCCCGCAACGAGCGCAACCCCUAUUGUUAGUUGCCAUCAUUAAGUUGGGCACUCUAACGAGACUGCCGGUGAUAAACCGGAGGAAGGUGGGGAUGACGUCAAAUCAUCAUGCCCCUUAUGACCUGGGCUACACACGUGCUACAAUGGAUGGUACAACGAGUCGCGAGACAGUGAUGUUUAGCUAAUCUCUUAAAACCAUUCUCAGUUCGGAUUGUAGGCUGCAACUCGCCUACAUGAAGUCGGAAUCGCUAGUAAUCGCGGAUCAGCACGCCGCGGUGAAUACGUUCCCGGGCCUUGUACACACCGCC